UACGGAGGGGGCUAGCGUUGUUCGGAAUUACUGGGCGUAAAGCGCACGUAGGCGGCUUUGUAAGUUAGAGGUGAAAGCCCGGGGCUCAACUCCGGAAUUGCCUUUAAGACUGCAUCGCUAGAAUUGUGGAGAGGUAAGUGGAAUUCCGAGUGUAGAGGUGAAAUUCGUAGAUAUUCGGAAGAACACCAGUGGCGAAGGCGACUUACUGGACACAUAUUGACGCUGAGGUGCGAAAGCGUGGGGGAGCAAACAGG
RNAcentral lists this ribosomal RNA (254 nucleotides) under uncultured bacterium. RNAcentral describes it as "partial 16S ribosomal RNA". It matches the Rfam family "Bacterial small subunit ribosomal RNA", at positions 524 to 776 of the family's 1533-position model. The record is from RNAcentral.